UACACUCCUGCGGGAGGCAGCAGUGGGGAAUAUUGGACAAUGGGCGCAAGCCUGAUCCAGCCAUGCCGCGUGAGUGAUGAAGGCCCUUGGGUUGUAAAGCUCUUUCACCGGUGAAGAUAAUGACGGUAACCGGAGAAGAAGCCCCGGCUAACUUCGUGCCAGCAGCCGCGGUAAUACGAAGGGGGCUAGCGUUGUUCGGAUUUACUGGGCGUAAAGCGCACGUAGGCGGACUAUUAAGUCAGGGGUGAAAUCCCGGGGCUCAACCCCGGAACUGCCUUUGAUACUGGUAGUCUUGAGUUCGAGAGAGGUGAGUGGAAUUCCGAGUGUAGAGGUGAAAUUCGUAGAUAUUCGGAGGAACACCAGUGGCGAAGGCGGCUCACUGGCUCGAUACUGACGCUGAGGUGCGAAAGCGUGGGGAGCAAACAGGAUUAGAAACCCCAGUAGUCCCAUGAU
Molecule: ribosomal RNA, 453 nt
Filed under: uncultured organism
Description: partial 16S ribosomal RNA
Rfam family: Bacterial small subunit ribosomal RNA
Source: RNAcentral